This 464-nucleotide ribosomal RNA is filed under the name uncultured bacterium. RNAcentral's name for it is "bacterial SSU rRNA". It matches the Rfam family "Bacterial small subunit ribosomal RNA", at positions 335 to 795 of the family's 1533-position model. The record is from RNAcentral.
ACUCCUACGGGAGGCAGCAGUAAGGAAUAUUGGGCAAUGGACGCAAGUCUGACCCAGCCAUGCCGCGUGAAGGAUGAAUGUCCUAUGGAUUGUAAACUUCUUUUGUGCAGGAAAAACCCCUCGGUUUCGUACCGGGGCUGAUUGUACUGUACGAAUAAGCACCGGCUAACUCCGUGCCAGCAGCCGCGGUAAUACGGAGGAUGCAAGCGUUAUCCGGAUUCAUUGGGUUUAAAGGGUGCGCAGGCGGAGUGAUAAGUCAGUGGUGAAAUCUCCCGGCUCAACCGGGAAACUGCCGUUGAUACUGUCAUUCUUGAGUACAGUUGAAGUGGGCGGAAUGUGUCAUGUAGCGGUGAAAUGCUUAGAUAUGACACAGAACACCGAUAGCGAAGGCAGCUCACUAAGCUGUAACUGACGCUCAUGCACGAAAGCGUGGGGAUCAAACAGGAUUAGAUACCCUGGUAGUC